AUGUCGAAGGGUCCUGCCGUUCGUAUUGAUCUCGGCAUCACCUACUCUUGUAUGGGUGUGUUCUAGCAUGGAAAAGUAGAAAUAAUUGCUUUGUGUAUGAUCUGGGAAACUGAAUCACUCCAAGCUAUGUUGCCUUUACAGACACUGAACUAUCGAUCGGUGUUGCCACAAAGGAUCAAGUUGCAAUGAACCCCACCAACACGGUUUUUGAUGCCAAACAUCUGAUUGGACACAGAUUUGAUGAUGAUGUUGUCCAGUCUGAUAUGAAGCAUUGGCCCUUCAUGGUGGUAAAUGAUGCUGGCAGGCCCAAGGUCCAAGUAGAAUACAAUGGAGAGACCAAAAUCUUCUAUCCAGAGGAGGUAUCCUCUAUGGUUCUGACAAAGAUGAAGGAAAUUGCAGAAGCCUACCUUGGAAGACUGUUACCAAUGCUGUGGUCACAGUGCCAGCUUAUUUUAAUGAAUCUCAGUAUCAGGCUAGCAAAGAUGCUGGAACUAUUAUUGCUCAAUGUACUUAGAAUUAUCAAUGAGCCAAAUGCUGCUACUAUUACCUACAGCUUAGACAAAAAGGUUGGAGCUGAAAGAAACGUGCUAAUCUUUGACCUGGGAGGUGGCACUUUUGAUGUGUCAGUCCUCACUAUUGGGGAUGGAAUCUUUGAGGUCAAGUCUACAGCCAGAGACACCUACUUGGGUGGAGAAGAUUUUGAUCACCAAAUGAUCAACCAUUUUAUUGCUGAGUUCAAGCACAAGCAUAAGACGGACAUAAGUGAGAACAAGAGAGCAGUAAGACACCUCCCUACUGCUUGUGAGUGUGCUCAGUGUACUUUCUCUUCCAGCACCCAGGCCAGUAUUGUGAUCGAUUCUCUCUAUGAAGGAAUCAACUUCUGUACCUCCAUUACCCAUACCCAAUUUGAAGAAUUGAAUGCUCACCUGUUCCAUGGCACCCUGGACUCCAUAGAGAAGGCCCUUCAAGAUGCCAAACUAGACAAGUCACAGAUUCAUGAUACUGUCCUGGUUGGUGGUUCUACUCGCAUCCCCAAGAUUCAGAAGCUUCUCCAAGACUUCUUCAGUGGAAAAGAACUGAAUAAGAGCAUCAACCCUUUUGCUUAUGGUGCAGCUGUCCAGGCCACCAUCCUGUCUGGAGACAAGUCUGAAAAUGUUCAAGAUUUGCUGCUUUUCUCCUCUUUCCCUUGGUAUUGAAACUGCUGGUGGAGUAAGGACUGUCCUCCUCAAGUGUAAUACUACCAUUCCUGCCAAGUAGACACAGACCUUCACUACCUAUUCUGACAACCAGCCUAGUGUGCUUAUUCAGGUUUAUGAAGGUGAGUGUGCCAUGAACAAGGAUAACAACCUGCCUGGCAUACCUCCUGCACCCCAAUGUGUUCCUCAGAUUGAAGUCACUUUUGACAUUGAUGCCAAUGGCAUCCUCAAUGUGUCUGCUGUAGACAAGAGUACAGGAGACGAGAACAAGAUUACUAUCACUAAUGACAAGAGCCGUUUGAGCAAGGAAGACAUUGAACGUAUGGUCCAGGAAGCUGAGAAGCACAAAGCUGAAGAUGAGAAGCAGAGGGACAAAGUAUCAUCUAAGAGUUAACUUGAGUCCUGUGCAUUCAACAUGAAAGCAACUGUCAAAGAUGAGAAACUUCAAUGCAAGAUUAACGAUGAGGACAAACGGAAGAUUCUGGACAAGUGUAAUGAAAUUAUCAGCUGGCUCAAUAAGAAUCAGACUGCUGAGAAGGAAGAAUCUGAACAUCAGCAGAAAGAGCUGGAGGAAGUCUGCAACCCCAUCAUCACCAAGCUGUACCAGAGUGCAGGAGGCAUGCCAGGAGGAAUGCCUGGGGGAUUCCCUGGUGGUGGAGCUCCUCCCUCUGGUGGUGCUUCCUCGGGGCCCACCAUUGAAGAGGUUGAUUAAGCCAACCCAAGUAGCAUGUGUUCCACACAUGUAAAACA
Saimiri boliviensis boliviensis (Bolivian squirrel monkey) is the source of this 1946-nucleotide non-coding RNA. NCBI's taxonomy places the organism in Eukaryota, Metazoa, Chordata, Mammalia, Primates, Cebidae. The record is from RefSeq and is a predicted model, not a curated record.